Molecule: ribosomal RNA, 253 nt
Filed under: uncultured bacterium
Lineage: Bacteria
Description: partial 16S ribosomal RNA
Rfam family: Bacterial small subunit ribosomal RNA
Source: RNAcentral
UACGUAGGGCGCAAGCGUUGUCCGGAAUUAUUGGGCGUAAAGAGCUCGUAGGCGGUCUGUCGCGUCUGCUGUGAAAACUCGGGGCUUAACCCCGGGCCUGCAGUGGGUACGGGCAGACUAGAGUGCGGUAGGGGAGACUGGAAUUCCUGGUGUAGCGGUGAAAUGCGCAGAUAUCAGGAGGAACACCGGUGGCGAAGGCGGGUCCCUGGGCCGUAACUGACGCUGAGGAGCGAAAGCAUGGGGAGCGAACAGG